GACGAACGCGGGCGGCGUGCUAAUACAUGCAAGUCGAACGAGAGCGACCGGUGCUUGCACUGGUCAAUCUAGUGGCGAACGGGUGAGUAACACGUGGGUAACCUGCCCAUCAGAGGGGGAUAACAUCCGGAAACGGAUGCUAAAACCGCAUAGGUCUUCGAGCCGCAUGGCUUGAAGAGGAAAAGAGGCGCAAGCUUCUGCUGAUGGAUGGACCCGCGGUGCAUUAGUUAGUUGGUGAGGUAACGGCUCACCAAGGCCGUGAUGCAUAGCCGACCUGAGAGGGUGAUCGGCCACAUUGGGACUGAGACACGGCCCAAACUCCUACGGGAGGCAGCAGUAGGGAAUCUUCCGCAAUGGACGCAAGUCUGACGGAGCAACGCCGCGUGAGUGAAGAAGGUUUUCGGAUCGUAAAACUCUGUUG
This 421-nucleotide ribosomal RNA is filed under the name Granulicatella adiacens. RNAcentral describes it as "bacterial SSU rRNA". It matches the Rfam family "Bacterial small subunit ribosomal RNA", at positions 28 to 438 of the family's 1533-position model. Lineage: Bacteria; Bacillati; Bacillota; Bacilli; Lactobacillales; Carnobacteriaceae. The record is from RNAcentral.